GAUUAACGCUAGCGGCAGGCCUAAUACAUGCAAGUCGAACGGCAGCACGGGUAGCAAUACCUGGUGGCGAGUGGCGCACGGGUGCGUAACGCGUAUGCAAUCUACCUAUAACUGGGGAAUAGCCUUCCGAAAGGAAGAUUAAAACCGCAUAAUAUCACGAAGCGGCAUCGUUUUGUGAUCAAAUCUCCGGAGGUUAUAGAUGAGCAUGCGUGACAUUAGCUAGUUGGUGAGGUAACGGCUCACCAAGGCUACGAUGUCUAGGGGGUCG
RNAcentral lists this ribosomal RNA (268 nucleotides) under uncultured bacterium. RNAcentral's name for it is "partial 16S ribosomal RNA". It matches the Rfam family "Bacterial small subunit ribosomal RNA", at positions 28 to 293 of the family's 1533-position model. The record is from RNAcentral.